RNAcentral lists this ribosomal RNA (1557 nucleotides) under uncultured bacterium. RNAcentral's name for it is "bacterial SSU rRNA". It matches the Rfam family "Bacterial small subunit ribosomal RNA". The record is from RNAcentral.
AAUUCGAUUGUUUGAUCCUGGCUCAGGAUGAACGCUGGCGGCGUGCCUAACACAUGCAAGUCGAACGAGAAGCUAACUUCUGAUUCCUUCGGGAUGAUGAGCUUGGCAGAAAGUGGCGAACGGGUGAGUAACGCGUGGGUAACCUACCCUCGAGUCUGGAAUAACGUUCCCAACGGAGCGCUAAUACCGGAUGACACUCCAGCGGCACAAGCCGCAGGAGUCAAAGGUGGCCUCUACAUGUAAGCUACCGCUUAAGGAUGGGCCCGCGUCCCAUUAGCUUGUUGGUAGGGUAACGGCCUACCAAGGCGACGAUGGGUAGCCGGCCUGAGAGGGUGUCCGGCCACACUGGGAUUGAGAUACGGCCCAGACUCCUACGGGAGGCAGCAGUCGAGAAUCAUUCGCAAUGGGGGAAACCCUGACGAUGCGACGCCGCGUGGGCGAUGAAGGCCUUCGGUCGUAAAGCCCUGUCAUGUGGGAAGAACCGGGUGGGGGUUAAUACCCUUCAUCCCUGACGGUACCACAAGAGGAAGCUCCGGCUAACUCCGUACCAGCAGCCGCGGUAAUACGGGGGGAGCAAGCGUUGUUCGGAAUUACUGGGCGUAAAGGGCGUGUAGGCGGCUUUGCAAGUCAGGCGUGAAAUUCAUCGGCUCAACUGAUGACCUGCGUUUGAAACUGCUCGGCUUGAGUACGGGAGAGGAAAGCGGAAUUCUCGGUGUAGCGGUGAAAUGCGUAGAUAUCGAGAAGAACACCAGUGGCGAAGGCGGCUUUCUGGCCCGAUACUGACGCUAAGGCGCGAAAGCUAGGGGAGCAAACAGGAUUAGAUACCCUGGUAGUCCUAGCCGUAAACGAUGGGCACUUGGUGUAGGGGGUAUCGACCCCCCCCUGUGCCGAAGCUAACGCAUUAAGUGCCCCGCCUGGGGAGUACGAUCGCAAGGUUGAAACUCAAAGGAAUUGACGGGGGCCCGCACAAGCGGUGGAGCAUGUGGUUUAAUUCGACGCAACGCGAAGAACCUUACCGGGGUUUGACAUGUGCCUGACGGGUGUAGAAAUACAUCUUCCCUUCGGGGCGGGUACACAGGUGCUGCAUGGCUGUCGUCAGCUCGUGUCGUGAGAUGUUGGGUUAAGUCCCGCAACGAGCGCAACCCUUGCCCUUAGUUGCCAUCAGUUCGGCUGGGCUCUCAAAGGGGACUGCCGGUGAUAAACCGGAGGAAGGUGGGGAUGACGUCAAGUCCUCAUGGCCCUUACAUCCCGGGCUACACACGUGCUACAAUGGUCUGUACAGAGGGUAGCAAUGUCGCGAGGCGGAGCCAAUCCCUGAAAACAGGCCUCAGUUCGGAUUGCAGUCUGCAACUCGACUGCAUGAAGUUGGAAUCGCUAGUAAUCGCGGAUCAGCAUGCCGCGGUGAAUACGUUCCCGGGCCUUGUACACACCGCCCGUCAAGCCACGAAAGCUGGGAGUACCCGAAGUCGCUGUCCUAACCCCUCGGGGAGGGAGGCGCCGAAGGUAAGACUGGUGAUUGGGGCUAAGUCGUAACAAGGUAGCCGAAUCACUAGUGAA